Vigna radiata var. radiata (mung bean) is the source of this 473-nucleotide long non-coding RNA. RefSeq lists it as uncharacterized. The transcript is spliced from 3 exons. NCBI's taxonomy places the organism in Eukaryota, Viridiplantae, Streptophyta, Magnoliopsida, Fabales, Fabaceae. The record is from RefSeq and is a predicted model, not a curated record.
CUAUGCCUAACACGUUUGUUUGUUCAGGCCAAGGUUGAUGGAUUUCUUCCUGGUGGUCCAAGUCUCCAUAACUAUAUGACUCCCCAUGGUCUUGAUACCAAGUCAUAUGAGGUUCUUGUCGGAUGGGUUGGCUUGGCCGUCUUAUUUGCACUUUGUUUCAUUGAAGCUCGUUUGAAAAUCUAGUAUCUGAGAUAUCAGUUUAUCAUUAUGAGUUAUAUAUUCAUAUUUACAAAUGUUUUCUCUAGGAUAGUCAUUAUGCUUAUAUGCUUGAUACGGUUGUGAUAUGAAAAGAAAAGAUAGUCUAUUUUCUAUUUCACAUUACUUUGGGAAGAGAAUAAAGUAUUCAAGAAAGUUGUUAAGAAAAACAGCGAAGCAAAUUUUAUUCUUCAUGAUGGCCCUCCAUAUGGUAAUGGCGAUCUUCACAUAGGGCAUGCUUUAAAUAAAAUUUUGAAAGAUAUUAUUAAUCUUUAUAA